Molecule: unclassified non-coding RNA, 352 nt
Filed under: soil metagenome
Description: partial contains 5.8S ribosomal RNA, internal transcribed spacer 2, and large subunit ribosomal RNA
Rfam family: 5.8S ribosomal RNA (bases 1-119)
Source: RNAcentral
GAUGAAGAACGCAGCGAAAUGCGAUACGUAAUGUGAAUUGCAAAUUCAGUGAAUCAUCGAAUCUUUGAACGCACAUUGCGCCCGCCAGUAUUCUGGCGGGCAUGCCUGUUCGAGCGUCAUUACAACCCUCAGGCCCCCGGGCCUGGCGUUGGGGAUCGGCGGAAGCCCCCUGCGGGCACAACGCCGUCCCCCAAAUACAGUGGCGGUCCCGCCGCAGCUUCCAUUGCGUAGUAGCUAACACCUCGCAACUGGAGAGCGGCGCGGCCACGCCGUAAAACACCCAACUUCUGAAUGUUGACCUCGAAUCAGGUAGGAAUACCCGCUGAACUUAAGCAUAUCAAUAAGCGGAGGA